This 428-nucleotide ribosomal RNA is filed under the name uncultured bacterium. RNAcentral describes it as "bacterial SSU rRNA". It matches the Rfam family "Bacterial small subunit ribosomal RNA", at positions 354 to 796 of the family's 1533-position model. The record is from RNAcentral.
GUAGGGAAUAUUGGGCAAUGGGCGAAAGCCUGACCCAGCAACACCGCGUGAAUGAUGAAGGUCUUCGGAUUGUAAAGUUCUGUGAUGGGGGACGAAGAAAGUGACGGUACCCCAAGAGCAAGCCACGGCUAACUACGUGCCAGCAGCCGCGGUAAUACGUAGGUGGCAAGCGUUGUCCGGAAUGACUGGGCGUAAAGGGUACGUAGGUGGCUAUUCAAGUUAGUGGUGAAAUUCCGGGGCUUAACUCCGGCGCUACCACUAAGACUGUUUAGCUUGAGUGCAGGAGGGGUAAGUGGAAUUCCUAGUGUAGCGGUGGAAUGCGUAGAUAUUAGGAAGAACACCGGUGGCGAAGGCGACUUACUGGACUGUAACUGACACUGAAGUACGAAAGCGUGGGGAGCAAACAGGAUUAGAAACCCUAGUAGUCC